Molecule: unclassified non-coding RNA, 514 nt
Filed under: Hevea brasiliensis (rubber tree)
Lineage: Eukaryota; Viridiplantae; Streptophyta; Magnoliopsida; Malpighiales; Euphorbiaceae
Source: RNAcentral
GGUGUGGGAGGUAUUUGAUAAGUUAUUAAUGUGCUUAACUCUCUCGUCUUUCAUAAUUGUUUAUCAUGAUGACUUGAUUCUAAUUAAAAUUUGGGUGUCUUCAUAUGUGCACUAAAGUCUUUUAAGAAGCAUCUCAAUCCAUUUUCAUUUUUAAGCAAUCUAGUCUAUUUUGAAGUUUAGCAUCUUUUUCAAUCUUGAACAUGGAUGAUUUUUAUUUAUUGGAGUUGUUGCUUCAUAGCAUGAGCAUACUAAAAGAGCCAAGGAUGGGAGCAUUUAUUGUUGUAUUUAUUUUAUUUUGAUAAGAGAAGAAAUUUCAUUGAAAAAGAAAGAAAGAGGUAGACAAUGAAUCCUCCUAUCAGCAGACAAUUGCAAACAAGAAUUUUGAAAAAAAAAACUGAAAAGAUAAUUUCUUAUCAAGUUGGAUAACAUGCAAAGAAAUCCCCUUGAAAGCUAUGGAAUUAUAAGCUCACUUAGAAUCCAAAACAUCACCCUUUUUUCGCUAUAAAUUAAAGGA